GGAAUGGCAAAUGAUGGUUAAUGCAGUGACAUUAUUUUUAUAGGUAUAUUAUUUUGAUAUAUUGAUUCUUACAUUCUUAUCAUAAAUAAUGUAAGUAGUCAUUUUUGCGCCAUAACCAGUAUAACCUAAAUCUUGCAAAAGAGAUAAAUUUUCGCUAGAUUUUUGGGCUUCAAACAUACAGUUGCUUUCGGUGACGCCACAAGUAUAAUUAUAUUAGAAAUCUUUUAUCUCACUACUAGGUGAAUUGAUUGUUGAUCUGUGUAUUGAUAUAUCAUCCAACAUUUACCUCAUGAUUGAACGCAAUGCCUAAUCCAAGGAAUAAAUACUAGAACUCACUGUUUCUUUAUCAACACAUGAUUUUGUCUUUGAAGUGAACUUAUAUAUUGAUUUUUGAGAAAUAGUUAAUUUAUUAUAAAGGUAAUUCACAAAAUGUUCUCAACAUCGAAUUCCUUGAAUCACGUAGAUGUGUUUUCAUACCCCGAUAUUCAAAAUCGGUUUAGUUUUGCCCCUAAAACACCAGUAAAGCAAUACUCUGUAUGAAACAAUCUCAUUUUUAGUUAGGGGAAAUUGGUAAGCGUGGACUAAAAAUACAAAAUGUUCAAUAUCUCCGCUGCUCGUGCACGGAUUUAGACAAUCUAUAGCUUGUUAGAAAGGUAUUUUUACAAGCUUUCUAUUUAUAUGCAGUUUGUGGGACGAAACUGUAUUGUUUGAAAGUUAUUUGCAAAAAACCUGCCGUGUUUUGACAAAAUCGCCCAUAUCUCAGAAAGUAAACAACAUAUCGAAAAUCAAAAAUAAUAGUGUCAAAUGGCAACGUUAGGCCUUUCAUUUGAAACUAAUUUCAUUAAGAUCGGUUCAGCCAUUGCUGAGAUAAUUACAUGACAUUUUGUACAUACAUACAUACACACAUACACACACACACACAUACAGACAUUGUCUCAAUUUGUCGAGCUGAGUCGAUUGGUAUAUGAGACUCGGCCCUCCGGGCCUCGGAAAAAGUUUUCAAAGUUUGAGCGAAUCCUAUACAUUUCUUUUGUAAGAAAUGUAAAAACAUAUUAAAAUGGGUGCAACAUUACUCUACAUUGCGGGUCUGAAUCACUAAUGAUCAAUCAAAGCAGCUUUGACAACAUUGGCCACCUAUUACUGUUCGCGAUGCCUCCGGGGAACUCUCCAAGCUCCUAAGCUAAUAUCACACCUAUUCUCCAGCGAAUUUUCUACCGAUUUUUACAAACUUGAUUUCAAAUGAAAGUUACAGUAAUAGGGGAAUUUGGUCGGUUGUCGGCACCCUUUUGCCUUCGGCUUAUAACAUUUCUCCAAUUGCAUAAUAUAGGGACAUAAGCAUACCAAUAAAAAGCUAGAGGUCUUAGCUAAUAACGGGUGAAGGAAUUUAAUUUAUGCCGUCAAUAUUAAAAAUGUUGACAAUUUAGUGAAAUGAUCAUGUAUUGUCGUUUAGAAAAAUGUGGUCGCUUGUCGGCACCAUAACAAAAUUUAGUAAAAAUGGCAGAAUAUGAAUAAAAAUUCAAAGAGAAAAUAAAAUUUACUUUUAACAUCAUUCCUUACCAGAUGCACAAUGUGUGUAUGCGAAUUGUGAAAUUCAUGCUGCAAAGUUGGCACUCAUAGCUAUAUCAGUAUCAGAGUCCGCUGCUAGAUGGCAUUAACUGGCAUAGCGUGCUGCAUGGUCAGCGCGGCAAGCAGAAAGUUAUCAAAAGUUGAACAAAGCGAAAUUGAUGCUGGCAGAGUUUCUGCGAGCAUUUUUGCACGAUUUGUGCGAGAAUUCUGGCAACGAAUUCGCUCAAAUGCAACAACCGUUUCUGACAGAAGCGGUUAAACCAACCGAUGCUGCUCACUUUUAUCCAGAAUCGAGCCAGAAAUGUACGGCCAAGAUCUCUGCACGCUUCCUGCCACAUCUUUGUCAGAUGUUUUGCUCGAUUCGUGCUAAAUUCUACCAGGUAGGAAUUGUCAGGAUCUUCGCACAGUUUAUGUCCGAGUUAUGCCAGGGUUUAGCUCGGUUCCUGUCAAAAUUUGCCAGAAAACGCGAGCGAAACCGAGUUCUCCCUGGCUCAACUAACCCGACAGGAUACGCGCAGAAAUCUGACAGGGCUGCCAAACCAAGACUUACAGAAAUGUAGCGGUCUCUGCCAGAAAAUUUGCUUACUGGGUGUUAAUACCGCCAUGACCUUACUGGUUCCCAGUUAAACUCAUUCCGGAACCGGUUCGGAUUUCUGAAUGGAGUCAUUAUGGAUUCCAAAUCAAAUGCAACAACCGAUUCGGACUCAGCAUCGGUUGUUGCAUCUGAUUUGGAAUCCAUACUGACUCCAUUCAGGAUUCCAAAUCAAAUUCCGAAUGGUUUGACCGGGUUCUUGCUACAAUGUACACACAGAAAAAAAAUUAGUUAAAAUAAACAAAUUUUGGUUUUAAAUAACAUUUUUCCCGUUUGAUAUAGUGACAAACAAGAUUCAGGAUUGAUUCAAUCAAUACUGUUGGUUGAAAUUACCAACUAAUUCAUUUGUUGGCUUUUCAGUAGUUUCAACAAAUAUUUCGUUUGAAACAACAAAAUCAUGAUAAGUUUAACCGAACAAACAAGUCUCGACAAACAUGUCAAAGUGCAAAUGAGAGCCUCUCUUUGUUUACUUUCUCUUUCGAUUAUUACGGCGUCAGCAUAAAACUUUUCAAUAUUGUUUCAGGAUAUAUCGAAAAACACUGAUUUUGACUAGCAUAUAAUGCUAAGAGUUAAUAAACAAACGUAUAAACGGACGAGUUAUUAGCGAAAGAGAAAGUAAACAAAGAGAAACUGUCGUUUUCACUUAGGACCAUUUGACAUGUUUGGCUAGAAGUUUGAAGAAACAAAAACAAAUCUUUUGUAUCAACCAAAGGAGAGAACAACUCAAAUUUAGUUGAAAUUAAACAAAGAUUCUGUUGCUUUUUAACAAAAGGAUCAGUUAGAUCUAACAAAUUUUAUUUUUAUUCAACAAUGUUUCUAUUUAAAAUGUAAACAGAAGUAUUUGUUGAACUAAACCAAAUACAUGCUUUCGAAAAACGCCCAUUUCAGUUUGAAACAGUCACUCGCCACGUUUUUGAUUCAACUAAACGUUUUGUUGAUUCAAAAAGGACUGAUUUUUCUGCAUAUAGAUUCUUUCAGCCUCAUAGUUUCACAGUCUUUCUUUUACAUUUUUACUAUCUUCACAAGUUGCUCCAUAGUUCACCACACCUGUAAUGCUUAUGAACCGGAAAUUGCUUCAGAUACCGUUCUAAUUACGCGAGUUUGUUUUAUUGAAAGAAACUCAUUUCAAGAAAUACAACGCUUGGGGAAAACAUUCAACCAGCUACAAACUUUGCGUUGUGCCUUGUUUGCUGACUUCCCUGUUUACGCUCCGGACCGAACACAGCGGAAAUUAGAAAUUAAAGCUUCGCGUGCACCAUCAAGUACCUACUCGAGCAAUUUUCGCUAAGUACCAUCUCUUGACAGUACUGUUUUUUUUUUUUUUUUAUUUUCGUCCUCCACUUCUUGAUCCGAGUUCUUUCCGCCGCGCUGCGAACACGAUUCUGCUGGUAAUAUUUUCAAUCUAAUUAAUUCUUAUUUUAAACUUCUCCCGGACUUCCGGCCCCACUGCGCCGCUCCGGAGGGCUCCUCCCGGCGGUAAGCUACACUGACAAACUUCGGGAAGAACGGAAAACAUCCGGAAUGGGGACAGCCUUGACGGUAAAAUUAAAAUCUGUGGCGGCACACUUUCACACAAGCGGGGCCAGGUAUGGCGAAAACCCGGCGAGGUCACGGUCGGUAGGUGUGACUGUCGGAGCGUGCUCGCGGUAGAAUAAUAAUGAAUUUAGGGUACUGACUUUUUAGCCUGUUUCAACCCGAUAGCUUUAAGUUAGUCCCCUUUUCUCGACUAAUCAGCCAAGCAAAGAUUGACACCGGGUUGCCGAGAAUUUCCAUAAAGCGGGUAAUCCUCUUUGUUUUUUUGUUUUCUAGCUUUGGUUGCUUAGAUCCUGGACUUAUUAACGUACGCUAUUAACUUGUCAGUUGACUGUCAGAGUGUAACCUUUGCUGUGGAACCGGAAGCAUUCCUUUAGUGAUGGACAGGCAGGUGGUUGGAUUGCUGUUAUCCUUUGCCUACGGUGUCGUGAAGAGUACCGCUGGAAAGAGUCUUGUGUCGGAGCAGGAGUGCGAAUUCGGGAGGACGAAGGAACGAGCAGGUUCUGAAUAAUAAAUGCCUAAACCGGUUAGCAUUUCAACCAGGCACCCGACACGCAAUCCAAUUCUUUUCGCUAGGAUCGAUUUCACGACCUUUAUUACACCGGCGGAAUGCGGCAUAUUUUCACAGGGCUCGGUGAGCUUCGCUAUUCGAAGAGGAAUCCGGCGCUUCCCGGAAUCAUCACAAUAAAUAAACAGUACCAUCAAAAGACGGUGCUUCUUUUAUACCGUGUGAUCGUUUGAAUGAAGGAAAAAUCCUGCUACGGAGAAGCAAAGUAUACAAAGUACAAUAAACGGCGCAGGAUUACGCACAGAACAAAGAGCAGUCGGGCUGGCAGGCAGUAAGCUUUCGUGUCUGCUCAAUCAUCAUCAUAAUCAUCAUCAUCAUCAACAUUAUCAUCACGCCGUAAGAUGUCGAACGCCCGCUUACUGCAAAGUAAAAAAGAACGUUACGGCCCUACAACAGCCAACAGAACCGGAAGCAAGAUAAGAGAGAUAAUAGUGGCUGUCUUUGUGAAGGCAGAAAGUGCAAAACGAAUCCUGGUGGCUGUACAAACAAAAGUGAAUGCGUGCCACGGUGCCUUCCUAAUGAUAGCGAUCGUGAGGAUAAAUUUUCCAAUUGAGCAAAAGAAAGUUUUAUUUUUUACAGCUACGCAAGAGCUUUGGUAGUGAAGAAGAGCGCCGCACAGUGGAACAGAAUACUGCUUUCGACGACUAAAACUUAUAGUGCUCUGUUUUUUUUAUCCUGGAGAUUUGGUGUUUUUGGCAAAGUAUCUUGGGUUGUAAAGUACAAUUUUGAAUAUAUUGGAUUUGAUCUAGAUCAGCGAUUCUCAACCUGGGGUCUGCGAGCACCUAGGGGGGCGUGAAGUAGUUGCUGAGGAUUCCUGAUGCAUAUAGAAAUAUCAAAUUUUGUUCUUUGGGACUAUUCGUAAAUUCUGUAACACUUUUAGGGAGGGAGGGGUACGACAAAGGCUAAACUUGUGUUUACUGAAGAAAACUUAUUAAAGAAAUAAACCCGUACAAGGGGAGGGGGAUUACAAAAAUUGAUUUCAAAGGGGUCUGUGGUUCACAAAAAGCUGAGCUGACGCGGCGAGCUUCUGCGCUAGAUUGUUUAUAAAAUCACAAUUUUGUAUUUAUUUGACAUUCGAACCAUUUUGUUGUUGUUGAGUAAAUAUAUGUUUACUGGUUAAUGACCGUCAGGUUAAAACCUCAAAUAAAACAAUUACAAUUAAAUAUAUGUUUCAAAACAACACAAAAGAUAAACUGUUUCUCUUGUUAUUUUAAUGUUCAAAAAAUUCCUUAAAGAUACCUUUUUUAUGAGCCACUGAUGAGGAUGUCCUUGGUUUUUUGACUAUCCAACAACGUUCUUGGAUUCAGGAAAGCAUUUUCAAAAAAUUCUAAGAUAUUCAGGAUUAAAACGUACACGAUGAAUAGUACAAUCGAUAGCAUACUUUUCUAUCUGCCUCUCGUUUCUCCUGCUAUAAAUUUUGUGCAUUGGACAUAUUCGGUCUAUCUACUCAUUGAAUGCUUAUUAGAACAAUAUGCUAGAAAAUGCAUAAAAAUCACAACAGAAUGAAAGAGACGGGUAUAAAACGUAUGCUAACUAUGAAUUUUUUUUUCUCAGUGUAGGUGUUUCUUGUACAUCUGCAGUAUUGUCAGAAGCAAUAACUAUCAGCAAUUAAUUCAACUACACCCAAAACAAAAUCUCGGGAGCCUUAAUCCAUAUGUUUUUUUUCUGCUCACUGUACUAGAGCCAAAAGCUCUAAAAUCGUUCAACCAACCUCAUACUUGAAUAAUACAACAUCGAACCCCAUAUAGGUACUUUUCUACGGCUCAUACACGUACACGUCACAUGACACAAACACUACAUCACUAGCGGGUGGAUAUUAAUAAAUAAAGACGGCAAAAGCAAAUGGGAUUGUUUUUUCAACCAAAAAACUGCAUUAGUGUUCGUGAGACAAUUGCUAUACGUCCUUGGCUAUCCAGUGCAGAGAUAACUUGAAUAACACAUACCAGUGUGUGCAUGACGAUCCACUUGUGAUCGAUGCUGCAAUGAUGAGAAGUGUAUAUAGCUCAGUCGUUAUGGCCUAGGGCCGGAA
Long non-coding RNA from Topomyia yanbarensis, 6288 nucleotides. RefSeq lists it as uncharacterized. Lineage: Eukaryota; Metazoa; Arthropoda; Insecta; Diptera; Culicidae. The record is from RefSeq and is a predicted model, not a curated record. The transcript is spliced from 3 exons.